This 525-nucleotide ribosomal RNA is filed under the name uncultured bacterium. Its description in RNAcentral is "bacterial SSU rRNA". It matches the Rfam family "Bacterial small subunit ribosomal RNA", at positions 773 to 1293 of the family's 1533-position model. The record is from RNAcentral.
AGGGAAUAGAUACCCAGGUAGUCCUGGCAGUAAACGGUGCACGUUUGGUGUGGGCGCAAUCGACCGCGUCCGCGCCGGAGCUAAACGCGUUAAACGUGCCGCCUGGGAAGUACGGUCGCAAGAUUAAAACUCAAAGAAAUUGACGGGGACCCGCACAAGCGGUGGAGUAUGUGGCUUAAUUCGAUGCAACGCGAAGAACCUUACCUGGUCUUGACAUGCAUUGUGUCUCCGGUGAAAGCCGGAUAGGGUAGCAAUACCCGCUUUGCACAGGUGCUGCAUGGCUGUCGUCAGCUCGUGUCGUGAGAUGUUGGGUUAAGUCCCGCAAUGAGCGCAACCCCUGUGAUUUGUUGCCACCGGCUUAUGCCGAGCACUCGAAUCAGACUGCCUCGAUCAACGAGGAGGAAGGUGGGGAUGACGUCAAGUCCGUAUGGCCCUUACGACCAGGGCUGCACACGUACUACAAUGCCCAGUACAAUGUGAACCGAGACCGCGAGGUGGAGGAAAUCAAUAAAACUGGGCUCAGUU